Molecule: ribosomal RNA, 484 nt
Filed under: uncultured bacterium
Lineage: Bacteria
Description: partial 16S ribosomal RNA
Rfam family: Bacterial small subunit ribosomal RNA
Source: RNAcentral
AUUGAACGCUGGCGGCAGGCCUAACACAUGCAAGUCGAGCGGAUGAAGGGAGCUUGCUCCUGGAUUCAGCGGCGGACGGGUGAGUAAUGACUAGGAAUCUGCCUGGUAGUGGGGGCUAACGUCCGGAAACGGGCGCUGAUACCGCAUACGUCCUGAGGGAGAAAGUGGGGGAUCUUCGGACCUCACGCUAUCAGAUGAGCCUAGGUCGGAUUAGCUAGUUGGUGGGGUAAAGGCCUACCAAGGCGACGAUCCGUAACUGGUCUGAGAGGCUGAUCAGUCACACUGGAACUGAGACACGGUCCAGACUCCUACGGGAGGCAGCAGUGGGGAAUAUUGGACAAUGGGCGAAAGCCUGAUCCAGCCAUGCCGCGUGUGUGAAGAAGGUCUUCGGAUUGUAAAGCACUUUAAGUUGGGAGGAAGGGCAGUAAGUGAAUACCUUGCUGUCUUGACGUUACCAACAGAAUAAGCACCGGCUAACUUCGUG